Non-coding RNA from Bos taurus (domestic cattle), 72 nucleotides. NCBI's taxonomy places the organism in Eukaryota, Metazoa, Chordata, Mammalia, Artiodactyla, Bovidae. The record is from Rfam.
UCCCUGGUGGCUCAGAGGGUAAAGCAUCUGCCCACAAUGUAGGAGACCCAGGUUCAAACCCUGGGUUGGGAA